UACAGAGGGUGCGAGCGUUGUCCGGAAUUACUGGGCGUAAAGGGCGCGUAGGCGGCUCGAUAAGUAGGAGGUGAAAUUCCGUGGCUUAACCACGGAACGGCCUUCUAGACUGUCAGGCUUGAGCACGGUAGAGGCAGAUGGAAUUCCCGGUGUAGCGGUGGAAUGCGUAGAGAUCGGGAAGAGCACCAGUGGCGAAGGCGGUCUGCUGGGCCGUUGCUGACGCUGAUGCGCGACAGCGUGGGGAGCAAACAGG
This 253-nucleotide ribosomal RNA is filed under the name uncultured bacterium. RNAcentral describes it as "partial 16S ribosomal RNA". It matches the Rfam family "Bacterial small subunit ribosomal RNA", at positions 524 to 776 of the family's 1533-position model. The record is from RNAcentral.